Long non-coding RNA from Tyto alba (common barn owl), 7352 nucleotides. RefSeq lists it as uncharacterized. The transcript has 5 exons. The record is from RefSeq and is a predicted model, not a curated record. Lineage: Eukaryota; Metazoa; Chordata; Aves; Strigiformes; Tytonidae.
UUUCUACGUGACACCCCCCCCCCCCCCUCUGCCUGGCCCAUAAAUUGCAGGUUGUUUUUCUGCCGCUGGCCUGUCACUCCGGGGAGCUGCCCCGUGCUCGCCGGCCACGGGAAGUGACAUUUUGAAAUUCAGGGCCGAUCUGUGUGUCGGGCGAAAUAGCUGGGAAAUAGGGCACACAGGGAGGGAAACGAAAGCGGUGCCUUGCCAUCCCCCCGCACCCGUUUGAGCCUGCUCGUGAAAUGGCAGCACAUCCCCGAGUCCAGAGGUCAUGACUAGACAGUCUUCUUGCCUUUUUCCUUGUCCCCUAUUUGCUGUCACAUGCUAAACAAAGCCAGGAACUAAUGCAGAAGCCACCUCGGUCGUGAAGCUUGGCUAAUUGCACCCAAAAAUGUCCCUGUCUUGGGGCUGAGCGCUGCACCAGCCUCUUCAAAAAAUCAGAUUAAACUAUUACCUUUUUCUGUGAGUCAUAACCUAACGUGCUAGAGGAUAAAAGAGCAGUCCUGAACCACGCUGUGGGUGCCAUCUAUUUCUUGCUCCCCUGUUACCUGCACUUGUUCAUCUAACAGGGUGUGGAGCGAUGCUGGCUGCUCCGAAAACCAUGUAGAUUUUCAUAUCGCCUUAAAAAAAUCAAUCGCUUUCUAAAUGUCAGGAACACACAAGUGGUGACACAGAGCUGUUUUAACCUCUACGACCUGGUCGUGCUGGGUCCUCGCACCCACAAAUUUACAGGAAAUGGUUUGUUUGGGGGAGCCUCCCAUUUCCAAAAAGCCAUUUAAUGUUUCCCAAGUUGAUAGAAUAUCGUGCUUCGACACUACUGAAUGUUAAAUUUCGACUUUAAAUUUGUAUUUUAUUCCGUUUGGAAAAAAUGCAGGAUUCUAUUGGUGACUUAAUUAUGGCAAAAAGGAAAGAGGUCGGAAUUCAAACCGAAAGUUGAAACGUGCAGGAUUUCACUUCAGCAGCCCUGGAAAGUUUCACUUUUCGUUUUCUUAUUUGUGGAAAUCCUGAGCGCUCCCAGGUCAGGAAGACGAUAGGGUGUGCGAGUCGGUGCCAAACCCCAGCACGGAGCUUCCCAAGGCAUUGCUGUCAGAGCGAAGGAGCAAUUUGGUGUCAAUGAGAAGUUGAUUGCCGUGGCAGGAGAAAGCCAGCUGCAGUCAGCGGCGUGGAAAAGGUCUUUAAUGAUGCAAACAACUUUUGGACAAAGUACAAAAGGGUAAAUAAGCGGCCAAGUCAGGAAGCACGGCAGGGAUGCGUUUGUAGGAGGGCCCUUCGUGGUCUGCUGCAGAAACACUUUGCUGGAGGCUCACGCACACGUAGACAACCUGAGGUCCAGCUCUUUUUCAUACCCAUUCUAAAAACCAAACCAAACCAAAGAUGGGCAUAAAUGGGCUAUUAAUACCGGGCUUUGUACUUGCUAUUGCUUAGGCGGUGAUUUAGCCAGGAUGCCACGCUAAUUUUAACUUUAGUCGUGGCGAGAAGCCCGGGUGAUGUGAGGCGUGCUCCGAGGAGCUGUGGGCUUCAAAGGGAACGUUGAAGUUCGUGGCCAGCUUGGACAGGGAGGGUCUUCAAAGUCAUUUAAACCCACAGGUAGGUCCAGGACCUUCACUGCCUCUGGGUAAAUGCAAGGGUCUGAAAAAGCAACUUUUGCUAUAACAGAGCAAAAGGGGAAUCGGGAGGCGGCUGCGCUCCUCGGUUCACUGUACUGUUUGGCCUUAUGCCUGGAAGUUUGGUGACUUUAGGCAGCUUGCUUAGCAGUCCUUUCCAAAGUCGAUGCACUUCGCAGUAGUUAAUUACUAUCCAAUUAUUAUCUUCAGCAGUGGAUUUCAUGUGCAAAAUACUAUUUCUUGGAACCUGAUAUUUAAAAUCUGGGUGCCUGUCCCGUACCUGCCGCAUUUGUUGUGCGUACAGACAAGUGGUGUGCGCUGAAACCACACUCUCAGUUCUGCAUUUUUUGUGCACAGAAGUGACUAAAUUUGUCCUUUUCCUUCAUAAACUGACCCAGGCCACCUGCCCUCUGAACGCUGUGCCUGGGGGGGGGGGGGACACGGGAGAAAACAGCCACGGGAACACGGUGGACCCUCCUCCUGCUUCCAGCAGUCCCGGCGUUGGUUGGCCACGAGAAAUCUAGGAAAUAAUGAAGUUCUUAAAGGAAAAGAAAAGUUGGAGCCAUUGGGGUAGAGUAUUGCUGGGAAAGGUUUGGGAAUAUCAUCAGAGAAAUCGCCUCCACCGCUUUUGGUUCGCACUGCAGAAGGCAGGGCCUUAGGUAGGCUUUGGUAAACAGAAACGUGCCAAGAACUGCUUCGCUCCCUCAUCGGUCACUAGAAAUAUUUUGACUGUAAAAACUGCUAGCUCUUUACAAAAUACAACCAAGUCUUGUUUCAAAACGUGAGUGAGGCGGGUGCCCGGGCAUCCGGGGCUGCUGCUGGUGAAGGGCAGGGCCAGGCUGGCAGGCGCCCACGCUCCCCAAGAGAAGGGUGGACAAUCCUCCUCCUUCCCUAUUUGUCUUCCUCUAACGCCGUGUGAGGAGCACAGAUUUAAAACAAACAGAAAACAAGCAAAGAAAUUGUGAAACAGUAAAAUGAUUAAAAAUAGCUAGAUUCCUGCAGAAGGGCUGCACGUGCCAGGCCCUUCUGCCGGCGGGGCCCGAGGUGCUCGGCAGUUACUCGGGGUUUCGUCAGCAGAUGUUGGUACAAAAGCUCAGCGAGGCUCCGCACCAGGAACAGCCCCGUGGUGGCUCCGGGCUGCUCCAGGGUGACUUUGUCCAGGCCAAGACACUGGGGCCAAGGGGGGGCAGCCCAGCCCCUGGCACCCGGGCGUUUGCUUUCCUCCCAGGGGGGCGAGACGGAGGAUUUGGGGGGUUUCAGCGGUCUCCCCUGCCCGUCACUGAGCCAGGAGGAAAAUCCUCGCGAUGUCUAGCGCUGGCUGGUGUGUGACCACAGGCACGGCUUCAUGCUGGGACAGCCUGCGGUGACACAGCUGCCAACUUGUUCUUUUUUUUUUUUAAAAAAAAAAAAAAAGUGAAUUUGCAAAUUGGGACCGAAGGGCUGAAUGCAACAACAGCUGCCGUACCCUGAAGGGACCCCGCCACAAAGCUUCGGAAAAUCGUGGGGACAGCCAGCGGGGCUGCAGAGGAUUAAUGCGAGCAGGUCACCUCUCCACCCUUCGCCGCGCAGACGGGAGUUAUUUCCGCCUCCUCCUCUCCCCGCCGCGAGUCACCCGCGUUCAGCCUCCCGUGAGCCGUCGUCUUUCCCCGCAGGUUUCUCAGCCCCGGCGUGGGCACGCUCACACACACGCAGCUCUCUGUAGGCGAUCGUCACGUAGAGCUGCCGUCCCUCUCAGCCCGCCCCGCAGACGCUGAGGAGCAGCCGCGGGUCGUUUCUCCAGGGGCACAGGCUCCCAGAUCUGCCCUCGGCCUCGCCGGGACCCUCCUCAAGCCCCGAACCGCAGCGCAAUUUGGAUCAGGCUUCCCCUGGGCAUAUUUCUGAGCGCUCCAUUUCGGUGCAAAGAGCGGGAUGUCACGCCGGAAGAAAUAAUGUGAAGCCAGGUUUCUGAUGUUUGUUUUUUUUUUUUUUUUUUUUUUUCAUGUAAAGCUAAUUGCUCGUUCAGGGCCGUGCAUCCAGCUGCCACGCGAGCAUCCGCUGUUUUUCUCAGCAUCCCUUUGCUUUACAAAGAUAAGAUUUUUUGAAACGAAGCUCACGCAUCUGCAGUUUAAUUAGGGGGUGGGUGGCUGGAAGCAGGUUAUGCGCGGUGACAUCUUCAUUUACAUACAACCAGAAAAGAUGGCACAUGAGUGCCAUGGGACUUCUAAGUGUGCUGAAGGCCAUUCCCCUCCUCAUCACUUAUAGCAGUUCAGGCCACUGAUUUUUUUUUUUUUUUGGCUAAGUUUAGGUGGUUUUCAAGCGUUUGGACUCUUCUACAACAGCCAUACUAGAGGCUGGUCGCCUUAGUUCCUUAAUUUAGAGGUUGUUUGGGUUUGUCUUCAUGAGGCACAGAUGGUUUGACCGAGAUGUCUUUGUGGCCACCUCUCCAAGCACCAGGCGCCACAUCGCCUUCUUUUAUCUGCAGCGGGCGGUAUCUGCAGAUCAGAAGUGCUCAGACACUGUGGUGACAGGCACAGGAUCAAAACCGAGGGUGAUAAACAUCGACAGAGGAAGGGUGGAAUAAUUUGGGGUGGUCCACGAUGGGAGCAAGGGGAUGACAUUUAGCAAAGGAAAGUUUCAGUGCAGCAGAGAGGAAAAUGUCCUCAUGUGGAGUUGUGGUAGUCACGGAAGGUCUCUGCGGGGAGUGGUGGAGCCCCUGUGCUUGAGUGGUUCAAAAUGGGCAGGAAAAAAAAAAAACAGAACAAAAAAAAACAAAAAACAAAAAAACAAAAAACAAAAAAAACGAUGGAAAAUGUACUGUGGGAACAGCCCUGCGCUGGCAGGAGCUGAUAAACCGUAUGACCUAAAUGGUGUUUUCCGUCUCCCAAUUUAUGUGACACGGAAAGUGAUUUAUUUUGGCCUGCUCCCACUUUACUACAAUGACUAACGCCCAGCUGGCAGGGACCUGCUUUGCCCCCUGGGUAAAGAGUCCUUGAAGAAAUCUGGUGGUCGCAGAGGCGCUGAGAGAGGAGCCCUAAGAGCCCCUGCAGGGUUUGCCUUGGCUGACGGGGCAGCUCCGAGGGGCGUGCUCUUUGUCCUGCCCAAACGUCCUGUCAGUGUACAGGUCCCUCAGAAAUGAAACCACCGAGAGCACUGCCCUCUCUUGACUUAGGAGAUCUCGUUUUUCCCCGUGCCCAGGUCAGCUGAGCAGCACUUGGUUGGCAGCAGAAAAUGAAGGUGAAACCUACCCCCCCUGCCGCCCAGUGCUGUAUUUUCUAAAUUCCUACUACUCUGCUAAAAAUCACACGCGGUGCUGAGGGUGGGCAUUCGGGGAACAAUACCCAAAGCGGGGGACGGGGCAGGGGAGUCUCUUCUCCAGCAGAAGCAGCAGCUCAAGGAACCCGAAGCUGCCCCUGCUUGCUGAACACCAGCGCUCAGGAGUCACCGGCUUCUGUGGAAAUCCGCUUCAGCGCCCGUUCAUCCAGCCGUUUCCUGUCGGUGGGAAGCGUGGCGCUAGCUGCAAUAUUUGUUUUCAGUUGCCAGGACCGAGCGGUCAUUUAAAUCAUCGUAAAGUUCUGAACAAAGAACCACAUGUGCGUUUUGGGAGAAGUACCCAAAAAAAGGCUCAUCAGCAACAGCUGAGAAGCGUCCAGAAAGAGGCCAGAGGUGGGGAAUGAUUUAUGGGUGCUGUGGGUGUAACCAAGUAGCAAUAUUGCCUCAGUGUUGGCUGUUGCCAACUUUAUUAUACUUGCCCAUGUCUUUUUUGGUUUUUGCUUUUGUAGAUUCCUGCUAAAAAUAACAAUAGCACCUCCUUUGAGGGGAAGGGAAGCAGUUACUGGAGCUAGAAUGAGGUGGUAAUUCGUCUGCUAAAGCUGUACGCGGGAAGCGUUUGGGUUUUAAUUCCUGUGCUAUAAAACAAAAGGAUAAAAAGUGGCUUCUGAAGACGGGGCUUUUUCUGUGUAUUAUACCGCCUUAGCUGCAGGAAUGGAGACGGGGGAAUCCACGGAGGGGUCGGGUCGCACGGCAGAUCUGCACAACACCCCCUCACCACGAUCACGGCACAGUUCGCGUUUCCCGCACUACGCGCUGAAUCUUCAGCAGUGACCGAGCAGCCGGCCCUGUCAUCGCCGGGGCUUGGGACUAACUGGUCUCCAACGUCCCUUCCAACCCCAACCGCUGGGCGAUUGUGCGACGCCGUGGGCAGGGCAGGGGGCUGUCACCCCAGGAAUCCCCUACACAGCUUCUGACAAGCUCCGCUGUCUGGGGGAGGAUUGCAAAGGGCGGCUGCGGAUCUCGCUGCCCCCGACGGGGCGCGCUGCCCCACGUCGUGCCGCCAAACGCCGCUGCCAGCCCCGGGCAUGUUGCCCAGGACCUGCACCACCUCACCCGGAUCUACUCCCUGGCUUGGCAAACCGCCCCCCCGGCUCCGCUCACGCCGCCGUUUGCUGCAGCACAGAAACCCUUUAACCACGGGAUUUGCGACACCACAAAACGAUGGUUUUUCACUUGGCUGUCGCUGCUCUCGGAAGGAACCGGCGGCAUCAGUCUCCCAAUUCCACCUCGGUCAGUCCCUUACGACAUUCACCCAGCGGCUGUGCAGCACUUGGCAGGAGAUGGGAAUGGAAAGCUGCUUCCUUUACAAAAGUGUUUUUUCCUAAGCGGAGCGGGGAGCGGCCGUGGCGGGUCCGUCUCCUGCCCCCAAAGAACUUUCAAGCAACGAGGUUGUGCUUGGGCGAAGGGAGAGCAACGAGGAGCACGGGCGGGAGAGCCGGGGACCUGGGGGCUUGCAGAUGGGGAAUGAUGGAUUCCAUGCACAGUUCCUGGCAGGAGCAGUGAGAGAUUUCCUGGAAAAGGGCUCUUCCCUGCUGUCAGGCACGCUCUGCUGCACCCGCUGCCGCUGACCUGCGGGCUUUGGGGGGUGGCUAAAGCCCUGGUGCACUACUUGGGCCAAUUGCCCUCAAGAAUAUUCUUAGAUUGUUCACUUUUUUUUUUUUUGUCCUUCCCAAGCAACCCAAAGCUUUUGGUCCAGCUACAUCCUUCCAACGCCCGUAACAACGCUGAAAGCAAAGGACAGUCGCAGGUUUGAACGUACUCGCUUGAUUUUGUUGAAAAAUGAAACAUUUUUAAAAAUCCUUUUUUUCUGAAGCGAAAGCAGUUCUGAGGGCGAGAGCGACCCAUCCAAACCCGGGUGCCCGAAAAGAACCGCUGGGCUGGAACAUCUCCCACCCGGCAGCACCCUCCUCCCACCCCCAGAGUCUCUAACAGCGGCUGCAGCACCGGGUGAUGCUGAAAUGCUCCGUUUUUCCCAGGAAAUUGUCCUCCUCGCAGCAAGAUGUGGAGCUCCUGUCCCUGCUUCACCCCCCCAGCUGCCACUUGGCUGGGACGGUGAUCCGCUCCGUCGGCACAAGGCCAAUAUUUGCCUGUGGCCACCUGCGCUGGACGGCGCAGCCCGAGCAGCCUUCCCCAGACACAGCCACCCCUGAAAACACCGGAGGGAAAAAAAAAAAAAAAAGAAAAAAAAAAGGAGAAAGGACCAAAAUACCUUUCACUGCGCUUCACUUUUCUUAGAGCAAGCUGGCUGGGCACGGAGGCGAGCUGCUGCAGGUGCUGUCAGGGCGGUUGGUGCUUGUGCAGACACAGCCCCGAGGCCGAGCCCCCCUGCGCGGUUCACUCCGACACACGAACAGCCGAGCUUGAGCCCGCCGAGGUGCUGCUUCAAAGCCCGGCUUGUGUCACUACGCUACCUUGAAUAAAAAAAAAAAAAAAAAAAAAAAA